RNAcentral lists this ribosomal RNA (120 nucleotides) under Lates calcarifer (barramundi perch). Lineage: Eukaryota; Metazoa; Chordata; Actinopteri; Centropomidae. The record is from RNAcentral.
GCUUACGGCCACACCACCCUGAGCGCGCCUAUAGGUCGUCUGAUCUCGGAAGCUAAGCAGGGUCGGGCCUGGUUAGUACUUGGAUGGGAGACCGCCUGGGAAUACCAGGUGCCGUAAGCU